Molecule: ribosomal RNA, 464 nt
Filed under: uncultured bacterium
Lineage: Bacteria
Description: partial 16S ribosomal RNA
Rfam family: Bacterial small subunit ribosomal RNA
Source: RNAcentral
GACGAACGCUGGCGGCGUGCUUAACACAUGCAAGUCGAACGGUAAGGCCCUUUCGGGGGUACACGAGUGGCGAACGGGUGAGUAACACGUGGGUGAUCUGCCCUGCACUUUGGGAUAAGCCUGGGAAACUGGGUCUAAUACCGGAUAGGACUACGCGAUGCAUGUCGUGUGGUGGAAAGCUUUUGCGGCGUGGGAUGGGCCCGCGGCCUAUCAGCUUGUUGGUGGGGUGAUGGCCUACCAAGGCGACGACGGGUAGCCGGCCUGAGAGGGUGUCCGGCCACACUGGGACUGAGAUACGGCCCAGACUCCUACGGGAGGCAGCAGUGGGGAAUAUUGCACAAUGGGCGCAAGCCUGAUGCAGCGACGCCGCGUGGGGGAUGACGGCCUUCGGGUUGUAAACCCCUUUCAGCACAGACGAAGCGUGAGUGACGGUAUGUGCAGAAGAAGCACCGUCCAACUACGUG